UAGACUUCGCUUCUCCCCUCUCCGUCGCCCCCCCUUCGCGCUUCAUUUCGCCGCCAAGGGGUACCCCGCCCUCCCACCCCUCCGUCCGUCCGUCACACAAACGUGCGACCGCUGCGUUCACUCGUUUUCUUCUGCGCGCUCGUUUGCUGUCCUCCGCGCCCUAUCAGAGGAGGUCGUUGUGCGUGCUGUGUGCCUGUGCGUGUGUGCGUCCGUCCUUCGCCCACUCGCAUCUUCCAUCUCACUCCACCCAUCUCUCUGCAGCCUCCACCGUGCCCUCCCCUGUGUCCCCUCAGCAAAUCCCGCUUGUGUGCGAACACAUCUGAGCUGCAGUGCGCCCCUCUUCUUCUCUUCCUCUUUCGCUGCGUCCUUCUCUUCGCCGGGUGCUUGAGGUCGAGCAGUGCGCGUGUGUGGGUGCCUAUCCUCCCCUGCGCGCAUCGCUACUAUCGUGUGUGUAUCCACACUUCCUCUUUCUUCCGUGUUGUUCUCCUUCGCGACGCGCGCGCUGCCUUGCGCCUCCCACACCGCUGUGCGCCGCUGUCGUCGUCUGCGAUUGCGAAGGUUAUUGCUGCACUCUCUUUUUCGUCUCGUGUGUCGUUGCCUCUGACGCCUCUGUGCGUGCGUGCACGUCUCCGUCUUCUACUGAGAAGGCUCCCGCAGUCGCUCUUUUUGCAUCAUCUCCCGCGAAGAGGGCGCUUGGGCGCAUCGGCACCACCACCACGGCCACACACACACACGCGCACAAGGCAGCGCUUUAGAUCUCUCCCUCCAACGCCCACCUCUUUUUCUUUUUUUUCGCAUGUCUGUGCGUGUCUGUGUACAUUCGUAAAGUAUUGCACCACCAUCGCCACCAUUGCCCACAUAUCUCGUUUUUUUUUGUUUUCCUUGUACCUCCCACCCCCUACCACCUCACUUGUACGCGUGUUGUCCUUCACCCUAUUAGAUCCAUUCUCUUACCUUGUACUGGGUUGCUCUCUCUUUCUUUUACAUCUGUCUAUCUUACAGCUCUGCUCUGGCGUGUGUUUACCUGUGCGUGCGUUUGCGUGCUCACCCGUCGCAGCUCGCCCUACCCUCAUCACAGACCUACGCGGCUGUCUCUUUCUUUUUCGCCUCACGCGCCGUCUUCUGUCGAGUGCACCGCCAGCCGCCCUUCCAUCUGCCGCACAAGCGAAGCGCGUAGCCCUCCCCAGCCCAGCCACCAGCACCACCACCACCAUAUACACAUACGCUGCGGUUCUUUCUCGCGCCUCUCGAGUGCUUUGGUGGCGUGUGCUUGUGUGUUUCUGUCUGCGCUUCCGCUUAGCCGAUUAGUUUUUUUUUCUUAUUUUGAAGUCCUUCGCACCUCCGCUCUGAGCGCAGCCCUUCGCUUUCCUUUCCUUUCGAUUAGACCUGUGCCCUUCACGGGCGUGUGUUUGCGGGAAAGUGUUCGCGAAGUGCGGGUGUGCGCUCUCACACACAGCCCCGCGCAUCCGCCGUCUCACAGCUUCACGCGCGUGCGGAGUCGUUCGCUGUUACGCCUGACGUGGGCGUGUCUGCGUGCACCACCCGCGACGACGAGAGCAGCACUGCUGACUUCGAGUGGGCGCGCCUCACAUUUUCGCCCAUUUGUUCGGUAACGUGUUGCCUCGCCUCUACUUCUUUCUCCCUGCCGCACCACCGACCUCGCAGCGGGCUGCACCGCACUCCCCACCCGCACCCGCCCAACGGCGUCGAACGUGAUCGUCGCAUCGCUGCAUCGAAACCAAUGGAGUUCAAGCGGUCAAACUCGUCUCGCGGACCGCUCAGGUCCGGCCGCCGAGGCCACCCGGUCGGGGUCGCCACACCAAAGCGAUCAACCACCCCGCUCAAGAAGAACUCCGAGCGCGGCGCACCCACACCUCCAGCGGCAGCAGGGCCUGCCGCAAGCCCUGCGCCGCCCCUGCCGCCGCGUACGCCGGAGCCGCAAUCGGCGCGCUACUCGGCGAAGGAGUCUCCUCGUCCGCCAAGCACAACGACCUUCGAGCGUAGUGUCUCGGGGACCGGGAGCAAGGGCACCUUCAAGCGCUCCGCCACGGCUGUCGGCAUGCGCCGCGCGGAGGCGAUUAAGCACAACAACCGCGUGAACGUGUACGUGCGCGUGCGCGCGUUCCGCGAAGACGAGACGAGCGGGGACAUGGGUCAGCUGGCGGUGAACAUGGACGACAGCGCUGUGGAGGUGACGGUGCCGAAGAAGGGCCGCUUCACGUUUGGGUUCGAUGGCUGCUUCUGGAGCAACGACCGUGCGUGCCCGUCUGGAAAGGCGUCGGCGUCGCAGGAGGACGUGUUCGACGAGGUCGGGCGGCCGCUUGUGGAGAACGCGCUGGCGGGGUACAACGCUGCCGUGAUGGCGUACGGGCAGACGGGGAGCGGGAAGACGUACACGUCGUUCGGGCCGCCGGGGUCGAUCGGGACGUCGCAGGAGGGCCUGAUUCCGCGCGUAUGCAACAUGAUCUUCUCGCGCGCGGCAAACAGCGCGCAGAAGGGCGUGACGUACACGGUGUCUGCGUCGAUGCUGGAGGUGUACCUGGAGGACGUGUUCGACCUGCUGAACCACCGCAAGCAGCUGAGUGUGCGGAACGACUUCACGAGCAACACGUUCAGCGUUGUUGGGCAGAAGACGGUGCCCGUGAACAGCUACAUGGACGUGCUUGCGGUGCUGAACAAGGCGGAGCCGUUGCGGACGUUCGCGGCGACGAACAUCCACGACCACUCAUCGCGCGCGCACACGCUAUUCAUGCUGGAGGUGCAGACGCACUUCGACGCGCCGGAUCUUGCACCGCGGUGCGCGAAGAUCCUGCUUGCGGAUCUCGCGGGGUGCGAGCGGAUCCGGCUUGCGGGGACGGAGGAGGGGCUUGCGUUCGAGCAGGCGCGCAACAUCAACCUGUCGCUGCUGGCGCUGGGGUCGUGCAUCGAGGCGGUUGCGACGCGUGGGCGGGGCAGCUCGCGGCCGAUCCCGGAGUUUCGCAACAGCACGCUGACGAAGCUGCUGAAGGACUACAUUGGCGGGAACAGCAUCUCGACGAUGAUGGUGACGAUCUCGCCGAGCGAGCGCGACGCGAACCUGUCUGUGCAGACGCUGCGGUUUGCUGACCGCGCGAAGCAGAUCACGACGCACGCGCACGUGAACACGGUGGACCCGCAGCAGGCGAAGCGGACGGGAGCGAGCUGGGCGACCGGUGGCGCGACGAGUACCUGCGGAAGAAGGAGGCGCUGUACGCAGAGUACCAGCUCAAGGGGACCAUCGAGAAGCUGCUUGCACGGAUCGCGGAACUGGAGGCGAGGCUGCGUGAGUGCGCGGACGACGAGGUUUGCGCUGCACCUGACGACGGAGAUCGAGGAGCUGCAGAAGGCGCUGACGGGAGGCGGACUACCAGAUGGGGCUGCAGCGGCAGAUCCUGUACGGCGAGUUCCUGCUGCUGGAGGACGAGCUGCGCGAGCUAAAUACGAAGAUGCAGGAGAUGAAGGAGGAGCACGAGGAGGCGAUGGAGGGGAUUCUUGGCGAGGAGGCCGGGCGGUUCGAGAGAUGAAGCGCGGCUACGAGACGCGGCUGCGCGCGCUGCAGAGCGAGAGCGACGCUGCGCUUGCUGCGUCCACGGACGAGAUCGCUGCGCUGCGGCGCCUGGUGGCGGAGCUGCAGGAGCGCCUCGCGGCAAAGGAGACAGAGUGCGCAGACCUUGCGGGCCGGCUGAGUGCGCUGCAGGCAAAGUACGACGCGGACACCUGCGCCGCCGAGCGCGCGCGCAGUGAGCUGGAAGCACAGCUGGCGGAGUCGGAGAAGCAGGUGGGCGAGCUGGCGGAGCGCCAGACCCAGAUCAUGCUCGAAGAAGAGACGCUAAAGGCUACCGUGGAGCGACUGAACGCGGAUAUGGAGAGCACCGAGGAGACGCUGCAGGAGACGUCCGCCAAGCUCGCCGACACCGAGGAGACGCUGCAGGAGACGUCUGCCAAGCUCGCCGACACCGAGGAGGCGCUGCAGGAGACGUCCGCCAAGCACACCGAGGAGAUGCGUGCCGCAGAGAUCGCGUCGUUGACGGAACAGCUGGGCGUGGCGCACAGUUUGGCUGAGCAGCACUGCGCGUACAUGAAUCAGCUGAUGGCGUACGUGAACGCAGCAUACAACGUUACUCUGGAUGGGAUGACGGAGGUGCAGGCGACGGCACUGGCCGAUAUGCUUAGGCAGUGCGACUAUGUGCUUCGCUCUGUGGCGCAGGCUGCCAGUGACGAGGUGGAGCACGUAAAGGAGAUGUACCAUAUGGUCGCUGGCAACUACAAGGAGACGGCAGCGCGCUUCGAUAUACUGCGCCGCAUUCUGGGAAAGAUCGAUCAGGAUGUCAAGGAGGCGAGCGUGGAGAUCGACGCCCCGGAGCGGCGGCAGACCGGCUCCUUAAACCCGACACCGCGGCGCUUGGGUGACGUGUCGAACCGCGAGAACAGCAUGGAGAGCAAAACCCGCUCCUCAUCUCGGCUGUCUGCAAGGCCACUUUAGGCGUUCCUGGCGUUCGUCGAGGAGGAGCGGCUGCCUUGAUGGUGAUUGUUUGUAGCAUAUGCUCGCCUGAAAGUGUGGGGGGUGAUGAUGCGCUUUUUGUUUGGUAUAGGGCAACGUCGGUGUGCGCCGGAGGGUGGAGCCCCACGUGUCGUGUGCUCGCUAGCAGAACUCUCGGCGGAGCAGCCUUGCGCCUCGGGUGUUGUUGGGCGAUGUCCUUCUCUCGCCGUUCCUCACGCCCUCGCCGAUUGGGUCUCUGGGCAUUGCCCAUCGGUGGGAGCUGCGGGUGUACGCUAUACGGGAGUGUGCUCGUAAUUUCUUUGGAUUUCUUAGAUUUUAUAUCUGCAUCGGAUGCUAUCAUUGUGCGCCUGCCCCGGUGUGUCUGUCCGUGGCUCCUGCUCUCAUCGCCGAGAGCCUUUGCUCAUGUGCCCACAUAGUGCGCGGUGAGUGGACAAGAUGGUGAGAUGAAUCGGGCCUUGGGUAGCGGACUGGUGGUCAGCGAUGCUCCAAGGCGAUGGCCGUGCGUAGAUUCUGAUGCCUAGUGCAUAUCUGCAUAUAUAUGCAUACACGGGGCUCGAAUAUUGCCCGGCGCCAUGUGCGACCGUCCUCCCGUUCUUGUCGACACGGAGACGGACGUGCGUGUGCACGCCUGCCGAUUUUUCCCUCCGUGCUCGCACGUGCCUCGCGUUCUGUUCCUUGUGUAGAUUUGUGCACCCUCUGCGUAGACUCGCGGUGCACCGCAAUCUGGAGAGGAGGAGACAGACAUACAGCGAGAGCGAGAGCGAGAGCGCGUGCGGCUGCGGCCAUUGUCGUGGCGCAUGUCCUUUGCACGCGUGCGUGUCUCUGUACCCAACAUAAUAUCUUGUUUACAUCUCGCGCUCGGCGUGUCGGCGUGCACGUGUACGUGUGCAUAUCCACGUACGUACGUGCGCACGUGUGUGUGUGUGUGUAUGCGUGUGUAGGCAUGUGUGCUGAAUACGCAAGGGGGCGGGGACUGGAAG
RNAcentral lists this unclassified non-coding RNA (5499 nucleotides) under Leishmania donovani. Its description in RNAcentral is "gene:LdHU3.16.1850(CDS-product:kinesin_putative)". Lineage: Eukaryota; Euglenozoa; Kinetoplastea; Trypanosomatida; Trypanosomatidae. The record is from RNAcentral.